RNAcentral lists this long non-coding RNA (1215 nucleotides) under Androctonus crassicauda. The record is from RNAcentral. Lineage: Eukaryota; Metazoa; Arthropoda; Arachnida; Scorpiones; Buthidae.
GUUUUAAUUGUAGUGAUCUUACGCACUUCCGCGUUUGGUGACGAACCUAUAGCUUUCUAGUGGACGUGACUGGCUCCGUAUUAGUUUUUGUUUCUUCUUCGAAAAAUAAAACUAUUGGAGAGAUGUACGCUGCGAGACAAGACAAAAUCCUGUUCGUCACAAACGGGUUUUACAGGUACAACGAAAACAGGUUUGGCGUCAGAAGGAGCGCAAUUUUUGGCCAUUACAGCGUCGGCCAGAAAUUGAAGGCUUUUUUGGUCUCGCCAGAAUGCACUACAUCGGAAAUAAACGCUUUAUAUUCUGCAGUUACGGAUAAUCGGAAGACGAAUAUGCGAAAAUCGGAAAGAUUACCAAAUACGGCAUUUUCCUCUCGGGGUCCUCGAGACUAUUACUAAAAAGAAAGUGUGGUGAGAAACCCAACCUCCCAAAGAGAAUCGAGUUUUCUUUCAGUAAACAUGGGCUACAUUCUUUUUUUUUCCUUUCUUUUUUUCUUAACCUAGAAGAUAAGCUAUCUCUUCGAUUUCUGAUAUUGACGUGUUGGUGCUUAGAAAAAUCGAAAUUUAGGACAAAAACAUACAGAACCGACAUUCAGACGAAACAAUGCACACCACUUGGCAACGCAUGCACGAAGGAGGGACGAAGUGGGAUAUACGUUUUAAACCGGUCUGGUCUGUCUCCCAUCCUGCCUUCCAUCCCUGGCAACCGAUAAUGUGUGCGAUCGCAGAUCCAAUUCAUGGUUGUUUACAGAAAGACGGAGGAAGGAGUCGCCAUAACUCAGCCGAAGUCGGCUUCCAUCUAUCUCCAUUACUGGCCUUCGAUCGAUUCGUACUGCCAUGUGCACCUUGGCAGGGAGGGCAGCGGGGAAGAAGAAGAAGAAAAAAGAUUCAGAAUGGAAAUGUCGAAAAGAAACGGCGCGUUAUAAAGAGACAUUGCGCUUUUGCUCGCUUGAUUUAAGAGACGAAUUUGCUUUACCCUCUUCGAAUAAACGAUCCCAAAUUGUAAGAAACAAUUUAAAAAAUUGUUCCUUAAACCUUAAUUUCGCGGGUCGAUGGUUUUUAAUCAUUGCUAAUGUCCACGAUUCUUUUACACAUUUUCUGCUUACGAAAAAAAUUAUCGAACGUAUUUAAAAAUUCAAUAAUUGUAAUAGGGAGCUGUGUUUACUAUAACGUGGAAUGUCUCCUAUUAUUAUUAUUAUUAUUAAGUAGAUUCAAAUCA